GGCAACAUGGCCGAGUGGUUAAGGCGCUAGAAUCAGGUCAGUCGAUCAUUAUGUUAUCUAGUCCGAAAGGGCGUGGGUUCGAGUCCCACUGUUGUCA
This is a non-coding RNA of Guyanagaster necrorhizus, 97 nucleotides long. The record is from the annotation of a RefSeq genome assembly. Lineage: Eukaryota; Fungi; Basidiomycota; Agaricomycetes; Agaricales; Physalacriaceae.